This 457-nucleotide ribosomal RNA is filed under the name uncultured bacterium. RNAcentral's name for it is "bacterial SSU rRNA". It matches the Rfam family "Bacterial small subunit ribosomal RNA", at positions 343 to 793 of the family's 1533-position model. The record is from RNAcentral.
GGGAGGCAGCAGUGGGGAAUAUUGCACAAUGGGCGCAAGCCUGAUGCAGCCAUGCCGCGUGUAUGAAGAAGGCCUUCGGGUUGUAAAGUACUUUCAGCAGUGAGGAAGGUGGAUAUGUUAAUAGCAUAUUCAUUUGACGUUAGCUGCAGAAGAAGCACCGGCUAACUCCGUGCCAGCAGCCGCGGUAAUACGGAGGGUGCGAGCGUUAAUCGGAAUUACUGGGCGUAAAGCGCAUGCAGGUGGUUUGUUAAGUCAGAUGUGAAAGCCCGGGGCUCAACCUCGGAAUUGCAUUUGAAACUGGCAAACUAGAGUACUGUAGAGGGGGUAGAAUUUCAGGUGUAGCGGUGAAAUGCGUAGAGAUCUGAAGGAAUACCGGUGGCGAAGGCGGCCCCCUGGACAGAUACUGACACUCAGAUGCGAAAGCGUGGGGAGCAAACAGGAUUAGAUACCCUGGUAG